AUGCAAAUUGUAUGGAACAUUGUGGUUACUCAGUCUCCAAGGUCCUGGGUUGUGUCUGCAGGAGAGAGGGUCACCAUCAACUGCAAGCCCAGUCAGAGUCUGUUAUGGAGCAAAGAUAAUGAGAAGCACGUGCCUUAUUAUCAGCAGAAAUGGGGAGAAGCUCCUCAUCUGUUUAUGUAUUCUGUGUCCACUCACCAUCUGAAUUCCAUUAACAGUGGAUCUGAGGCAGACUACACUCUCAGUAUCAGCAGCAUGCAGGCUGAAGUUGUGGCAGACUAUUACUGCCAACAGAAUUAUAACUUCCCUUUCACAGUGCUUCAGCCUCGACCACAACCUCCUGUCCAGGCCAUGGGUCAGUGA
Dipodomys spectabilis (banner-tailed kangaroo rat) is the source of this 360-nucleotide non-coding RNA. Lineage: Eukaryota; Metazoa; Chordata; Mammalia; Rodentia; Heteromyidae. The record is from the annotation of a RefSeq genome assembly.